UCCAAGACUUAAGCCCAUGCAGUCUAAGUAUUAAGCAACUAUACUGUGAAACUGCGAAAUGGCUCAUUAAAUCAGUCAUUAUUUAUAUGAUAGUACCGUUUAACCUGGAUAACCCGUGGUAAUUCUAGAGCUAAUACAUGCUAAAAACCUCGACUUCGGAAGGGGGUGUAUUAUUAGAUAAAAAACCAAUGCCCUUCGGGGCUCCUUGGUGAUUCAUAAUAACUUAACGAAUCGCAUGGCCUUGCGCCGGCGAUGGUUCAUUCAAAUUUCUGCCCUAUCAACUUUCGAUGGUAGAAUAGUGGUCUACCAUGGUUUCAACGGGUAACGGGGAAUUAGGGUUCUAUUCCGGAGAGGGAGCCUGAGAAACGGCUACCACAUCCAAGGAAGGCAGCAGGCGCGCAAAUUACCCAAUCCCGAUACGGGGAGGUAGUGACAAUAAAUACUGAUACAGGGCUCUUUCGGGUCUUGUAAUUGGAAUGAGUACAAUCUAAAUCCCUUAACGAGGAACAAUUGGAGGGCAAGUCUGGUGCCAGCAGCCGCGGUAAUUCCAGCUCCAAUAGCGUAUAUUAAAGUUGUUGCAGUUAAAAAGCUCGUAGUUGAACCUUGGGCCUGACCGAUCUGUCCUCCUAAUCGAGCGCACGGAUUCGGUUGGGCCUUUCCUUCUGGGGAGCCCUAUGCCCUUCACUGGGCGUAGUGGGGAACCAGGACUUUUACCUUGAAAAAAUUAGAGUGUUCAAAGCAGGCAUUUGCUCGAAUACAUUAGCAUGGAAUAAUAGAAUAGGACAUCGGUUCUAUUUUGUUGGUUUCUAGGACCGCUGUAAUGAUUAAUAGGGAUAGUCGGGGGCGUCAGUAUUCAAUUGUCAGAGGUGAAAUUCUUGGAUUUAUUGAAGACUAACUAUUGCGAAAGCAUUCGCCAAGGAUGUUUUCAUUAAUUCAGUGAACGAAAGUUAGGGGAUCGAAGACGGAUCAGAUACCGUCGGUAUUCUUAACCAUUAACUAUGCCGACUAGGGAUCGGACGGGGGGUUUUUUAUGGUCUCUGUUUCGGCACCUUACUAGAAAUCAAAGUUAUUAGGGCUCUCGGGGUGGA
RNAcentral lists this ribosomal RNA (1088 nucleotides) under Cladophialophora globosa. RNAcentral's name for it is "SSU rRNA". It matches the Rfam family "Eukaryotic small subunit ribosomal RNA", at positions 37 to 1124 of the family's 1831-position model. Lineage: Eukaryota; Fungi; Ascomycota; Eurotiomycetes; Chaetothyriales; Herpotrichiellaceae. The record is from RNAcentral.